RNAcentral lists this non-coding RNA (658 nucleotides) under Pongo abelii (Sumatran orangutan). Lineage: Eukaryota; Metazoa; Chordata; Mammalia; Primates; Hominidae. The record is from RNAcentral.
UAUUGAUCAGCUGGGCACAUCUGCACACAUUUACAAUAUCUGCCACCUCUUUUAACCCUCAACCCCGCCCCACAAAAUGAGUGAUGGUGCUUGUUGAUUUGCAGAUUCACGGUCUGGUGAGACAAGUUUGAGAUCUCAUAUUUUCAGCUCACCCUUGAAAACCUUUCUUGGAUUUGACUGACCUUGAUGGCUCCCUGGAAUUUCACCUACAUUUUAUGGGAACUUCAACUCUCCAGAGAGAAGAGCUUUCAGAUAGCUACAGGACUUGCAACUAUGACUUUUAGCUUUCACUUUUGAAUGAGGCUCCAAAUGUCUCAAUGGUGGCGCUAUUUCCAGAUUUGGGCACUUCCUCCCUGACAUCAUGUCCAUGACCCUGCACCCUGCGGGGGGCUCGGAUAUGUUACGUCUGAUUCAAAGACAACCAAAAAGAAGGAAAUAAUGAUUUCACCAAGAAAGGACACAUACCAAGGCAGGAAUAGAGCCCUGCAAAGCUAAUCUGCUCAACCUUCACCUACUGGGUUCAAUGAAUAUGAAAAGCUGCCUUCCUGAAACUCUUCCUUCAAAGAGGAAAUGAUCUCCUGGAAUUCAAGCUUCUACAAGAAAACUGUGUGCAGGCCCAAGGAGAACAACUACAUGAAAUAAACCUUAUGUCUUCAGU